RNAcentral lists this ribosomal RNA (298 nucleotides) under Globigerinoides elongatus. RNAcentral's name for it is "partial small subunit ribosomal RNA". Lineage: Eukaryota; Foraminifera; Rotaliida; Globigerinidae. The record is from RNAcentral.
AAACCUGAGCGACAAGGUGCUGCUAUCGAAACUGUCUUUGAGUGUGAACUAUAAGUCUUUUGACUUAUGACCAUCACUCUAGACGUUUAUGUUUUGGUGUUGGCCCUUGAUGCUCAUUUGAACGCAACGGACGUGAUUGCAACCCCUUGUUGAGAUUUAUCCGAUCUCUACGUUCACUGAACCACACUCUUUAGCGAGAGCAGUGGGGAUGUGGAUAAACUCGGGGGACUGCUGACUAUAAACUUUUCUCAAACCAGAGGAAGGUUGCGGCAAUAACAGGUCUGUGAUGCCCUCAGAU